UGAGCUGAGAUCAAGAGUUGGGCGCAUAACGACUGAGCCACCCAGGUGUCCCUAGACUGACUUUUUUGGUGGUGUUGGAGUGUCCUCCAACUGGAUUUGCAGCAGCGAUGAUGGAAGUUCUUGCGGGGAGGCUACAAACCAUGCCAGCCUUAGCAAGACUAAUACUUUGCUGCUCCAUAGCUUCCAACAAGGCUUGGUGUUGAUUCCCCAUCUUAUCAAAUUCAUCUAUCCCACAAAUACCUAUGAUCAGAGUAGAAUAACACAGAUGAAAGCUUUCUUUGGAUAAGUUCUAAAUCUUACAGGAUGGAAACUGUUCCACAAUAAGGAAAUUAUUUGUAAUUGUUUCCAGCAGUUAAAAUUAUAAAAUGUCAAAGGUAGAGAAUUUGUGCUUCUUUUACAGCAAAUAAAACACUUAACUAAC
Molecule: long non-coding RNA, 421 nt
Organism: Suricata suricatta (meerkat)
Lineage: Eukaryota; Metazoa; Chordata; Mammalia; Carnivora; Herpestidae
Exons: 2
Source: RefSeq, a predicted model, not a curated record